This 218-nucleotide long non-coding RNA is filed under the name Homo sapiens (human). RNAcentral's name for it is "non-protein coding lnc-ABCD2-3:1". Lineage: Eukaryota; Metazoa; Chordata; Mammalia; Primates; Hominidae. The record is from RNAcentral.
AAAGGGGAUAGCUGGGAAGGAAAAGAAUCCAGAGACUGCCACUAUCCUGCUUUUAUAAUAUCACUCCAUUGUUUUUAUUGAAAUUUUACUACCUUUGAUCAUAUUAACAUUAUUGGGUUUUUUUUUCUGUUUUAGAACUUUAUAUAAAGGAAUCUUACUGCUUAUAUUCUGUGAGUUUCUUCUUUUGCUCAACAUUAUGUAUUUGAGAUUCAUCUGCA